GAAAUGCGAUAAUUAAUGUGAAUUGCAGAAUUCAGUGAAUCAUCGAGUCUUUGAACGCACAUUGCGCCCCCUGGUAUUCCGGGGGGCAUGCCUGUCCGAGCGUCAUUGCUGCCCUCAAGCACGGCUUGUGUGUUGGGCUUCCGUCCCUGGCAACGGGGACGGGCCCAAAAGGCAGUGGCGGCACCAUGUCUGGUCCUCGGGCGUAUGGGGCUUUGUCACCCGCUCCCGUAGGUCCAGCUGGCAGCUAGCCUCGCAACCAAUCUUUUUAACCAGGUUGACCUCGGAUCAGGUAGGGAUACCCGCUGAACUUAAGC
This 314-nucleotide unclassified non-coding RNA is filed under the name plant metagenome. Its description in RNAcentral is "partial contains 5.8S ribosomal RNA, internal transcribed spacer 2, and large subunit ribosomal RNA". The stretch from base 1 to 105 matches the Rfam family "5.8S ribosomal RNA", at positions 50 to 154 of the family's 154-position model. The record is from RNAcentral.